RNAcentral lists this long non-coding RNA (1554 nucleotides) under Olea europaea subsp. europaea. The record is from RNAcentral. Lineage: Eukaryota; Viridiplantae; Streptophyta; Magnoliopsida; Lamiales; Oleaceae.
CGACAGUCAAGACCAUCAUUGCGGACCGUAUGUCUGUUAUCGUCCAAUGUAUCUCCUCCAUAGUGAUUGCUACAGCAGUCAGUAUGAAAGUUAACUGGAGAAUGGGUCUGGUAGCUUGGGCAGUGAUGCCAUGCCACUUCAUUGGAGGGAUAAUUCAAGCCAAAUCAGCCAAAGGAUUUUCAAGUGGUAGUACCGCAGCUCACUCGGAACUUGUUGCCCUUGCUUCUGAAUCAGCAACCAAUAUAAAAACUGUGGCUUCUUUUUGCCAGGAAGAGCAUGUCAUUCAAAAGGCCAAAGCUACUCUCAAGAAACCAAUGAGGAAAAGCAGGGUAGAAAGCAUUAAGUAUGGAAUCAUUCAAGGUGUAUCCCUUUGCUUAUGGAAUAUUGCUCAUGCUGUUGCAUUGUGGUAUACAACAGUUCUGGUUCGCAACCACCAAGCGAGCUUCGAGAAUAGCAUAAGAUCAUAUCAGAUAUUCUCUCUCACAGUACCAUCAAUCACAGAACUAUGGACGUUGAUACCCACUGUUUUCUCUGCCAUCAGUGUUUUAACACCUGUGUUCCAAACCAUUGACCGACAGACUGAAAUUGAACCAGACUUGCCAAAGGAUUCACCGUGCGAAAGCCUUAAAGGGGAAAUUGAAUUUCGAAAUGUCGAGUUCUGCUACCCUUCGAGACCAGAAAUAACCAUACUUGACAGCUUCAGUUUAAAAAUUGAAGCUGGAUCGAAGGUUGCUCUUGUUGGGCCAAGUGGAGCUGGAAAGUCCUCUGUUUUAGCACUCAUUCUCAGAUUCUAUGAUGCCAACAAAGGACGAGUCCUGAUUGAUGGGAAGAACAUAAAGCAAUACAACCUAAGAAAUAUAAGGGCACGGAUAGGGUUGGUGCAGCAGGAACCACUUCUCUUUAGUUGCUCAAUAAGAGACAAUAUUUGCUAUGGGUGCGAAGGAGCUUCUGAAGCUGAAAUCAUACAGGUGUCAAGGGAUGCAAACAUACAUGAAGUAGUAAGCAAUUUACCGAGCGGAUACGACACUACGGUAGGGGAAAAGGGAUGUCAACUUUCCGGUGGACAAAAGCAACGAAUAGCCAUUGCAAGGGCCCUACUGAAAAGGCCGGCAAUAAUGCUCCUCGAUGAAGCAACAAGCGCUCUUGAUGCAGAGUCUGAAAGAUCCGUGAUUAAUGCUCUGGAAUCACUAAAACUGAGCACAACAUAUGUCACAAUUGCACACAGACUUUCCACAGUAAUCAACUCAGAUGCCAUAGUUGUUAUGGAUAAGGGUAAGGUUGUGGAAAUGGGCAGCCAUUCAACCCUAAUAGCGGCAACUGAGGGAGUUUAUUCGAAACUCACCAGGCUUCAGAGUGUCGAGAGAAAUUGACAUAUCUACAUCUACGAAAAUUAAAUGAUAGUCACUGUAAGUCUUAUAGUAUUUCUUAAGCUUGAAGCCAUCCUGUCAGAUUAGGUUUAAUAAUUUACUGUAUUGGCUUCACUGUUACUAUAUCCAAAAACUGGUAUUACAUCCAACACCAGCACUUUGGUUCGUACUUCAGAAAAAUAUCGAG